This 465-nucleotide ribosomal RNA is filed under the name uncultured bacterium. RNAcentral describes it as "partial 16S ribosomal RNA". It matches the Rfam family "Bacterial small subunit ribosomal RNA", at positions 28 to 507 of the family's 1533-position model. The record is from RNAcentral.
GAUGAACGCUGGCGGCGUGCUUAACACAUGCAAGUCGAACGGAAAGGCUCCUGCUUGCAGGGGUACUCGAGUGGCGAACGGGUGAGUAACACGUGGGUGAUCUGCCCUGCACUUCGGGAUAAGCCUGGGAAACUGGGUCUAAUACCGGAUAGGACCACACUUUGGAUGGUGUGGUGGAAAGUUUUUCGGUGUGGGAUGAGCUCGCGGCCUAUCAGCUUGUUGGUGGGGUAAUGGCCUACCAAGGCGUCGACGGGUAGCCGGCCUGAGAGGGUGUACGGCCACAUUGGGACUGAGAUACGGCCCAGACUCCUACGGGAGGCAGCAGUGGGGAAUAUUGCACAAUGGGCGCAAGCCUGAUGCAGCGACGCCGCGUGGGGGAUGACGGCCUUCGGGUUGUAAACUCCUUUCGCUAGGGACGAAGCGCAAGUGACGGUACCUGGAGAAGAAGCACCGGCUAACUACGUG